This 447-nucleotide ribosomal RNA is filed under the name uncultured bacterium. Its description in RNAcentral is "bacterial SSU rRNA". It matches the Rfam family "Bacterial small subunit ribosomal RNA", at positions 29 to 487 of the family's 1533-position model. The record is from RNAcentral.
ACGAACGUUGAUGGCGUGCCUCAUACAUGCAAGUCGAGCGCCCCGCAAGGGGGAGCGGCGGACGGGUGAGUAACACGUAAAGAAUCUGCCCUGAAGCGGGGAAUAACUAUCCCAACGGAUAGCUAAUACCGCAUAAUGAUGGAGGAGGCAUCUCCUCUUCUCAAAAGGCUUCGGCCACUUCAGGAUGACUUUGCGUCCCAUUAGCUUGUUGGCGGGGUAACGGCCCACCAAGGCUACGAUGGGUAUCCGGCCUGAGAGGGUGUACGGACACAUUGGGACUGAGAUACGGCCCAGACUCCUACGGGAGGCAGCAGUAGGGAAUUUUGCGCAAUGGGGGAAACCCUGACGCAGCAACGCCAUGUGUGGGAUGAAGCAUUUCGGUGUGUAAACCACUGUCAGCGGGGAAUAAACGGCAGCUUCGGGCUGCUUUGAAUGUACCCGCAAAGG